AUCACCUGGGGAUCUUGUUAAAAUGCAGAUUCUGAAUUAGUGGGUGUAUGUGGGGCUUAAGAUUCCGUUUCUUUAGCAAGCUCCCAGGUGAUGACAA
Molecule: microRNA precursor, 97 nt
Filed under: Camelus bactrianus (Bactrian camel)
Lineage: Eukaryota; Metazoa; Chordata; Mammalia; Artiodactyla; Camelidae
Also listed under: 3 other names
Description: mir-544 microRNA precursor family
Rfam family: mir-544 microRNA precursor family
Source: Rfam by way of RNAcentral